CGCUGGCGGCGUGCUUAACACAUGCAAGUCGAACGGUAAGGCCCUUCGGGGUACACGAGUGGCGAACGUGGGGGAUAACACGUGGGUGAUCUGCCCUGCACUUCGGGAUAAGCCUGGGAAACUGGGUCUAAUACCGGAUAGGACCAUGGACUUCACGGUUUGUGGUGGAAAGCUUUUGCGGUGUGGGAUGGGCCCGCGGCCUAUCAGCUUGUUGGUGGGGUAAUGGCCUACCAAGGCGACGACGGGUAGCCGGCCUGAGAGGGUGUCCGGCCACACUGGGACUGAGAUACGGCCCAGACUCCUACGGGAGGCAGCAGUGGGGAAUAUUGCACAAUGGGCGCAAGCCUGAUGCAGCGACGCCGCGUGAGGGAUGACGGCCUUCGGGUUGUAAACCUCUUUCAAUAGGGACGAAGCGCAAGUGACGGUACCUAUAGAAGAAGCACCGGCCAACUACGUG
This 457-nucleotide ribosomal RNA is filed under the name uncultured bacterium. RNAcentral describes it as "bacterial SSU rRNA". It matches the Rfam family "Bacterial small subunit ribosomal RNA", at positions 34 to 507 of the family's 1533-position model. The record is from RNAcentral.